RNAcentral lists this ribosomal RNA (407 nucleotides) under uncultured bacterium. RNAcentral describes it as "partial 16S ribosomal RNA". It matches the Rfam family "Bacterial small subunit ribosomal RNA", at positions 30 to 526 of the family's 1533-position model. The record is from RNAcentral.
AUUGAACGCUGGCGGCAGGCCUAACACAUGCAAGUCGAGCGGAGCGGCGGACGGGUGAGUAAUGCCUAGGAAUCUGCCUGGUAGUGGGGGAUAACGUCCGGAAACCGGCGCUAAUACCGCAUACUAUCAGAUGAGCCUAGGUCGGAUUAGCUAGUUGGUGGGGUAAAGGCCUACCAAGGCGACGAUCCGUAACUGGUCUGAGAGGAUGAUCAGUCAAACUGGAACUGAGACACGGUCCAGAGUCCUACGGGAGGCAGCAGUGGGGAAUAUUGGCAAAUGGGCGAAAGCGUGAUCGAGCAAUGCCGCGUGUGUGAAGAAGUUCGUCGGAUGGUAAAGCGCUUUAAGGUGGGAUGCGGUACCAACAGAAUAAGCACCGGCUAACUACGUGCCAGCAGCCGCGGUAAUUC